UCAGAUAUCAUUAAGCAAAAUCAAUACCCUUUAUAGUUUAGCGUUCAUGUUCUCCCUAACAAAAGAAAUCUACUCCGUAAUUAAAUCGAGAAAACAAAAACAGAAAUUAAAAGGAAACAUAAUAAAAUAAAAUAAAACUUAGGAUUGUGUCUUCGUCUUGAGCUUGAUCUCCUCUCCAAUGGAGUUUUGAGUCUUCCAGUAAGAAGAAAAAGAAGAAGAAGAAGAAGAAAAACCCCAACUUAGAACAAUAUCUCAAUUAAAAGAGUGCUGCUAGAAUACUAAUAAUAUGUCCUAUAUACACAGGGUAAAUAACAAAAUUUUGUAAAUACAAAUCCUAGGUGAAAUAGGAAAGAGAAUAAAGCAUCCUAAGCCAUUUAGGAAACCUAAAAAUUAUGCAUUUCCUACAUGACCAUGCGCCUACCCAUGCAGAUUGUUGCCUUCAAAAUUCUAUGUAGAGAGAGACUCCAAUACUAAUGUGCAUCACCACUGCAUAAGUAUACAUCUGUCAGUGCAGGUUUCUGCCUUUUUCGUGCCUUCAUCUAAAACUUUUUAAAUUCUCCCAAAAUCAACUAAAAUUUAUAAAAUAAACCAAAGUGACUAAACAAACUAAAAUUAAACAAAAAACUAACGAGAAUU
This 636-nucleotide long non-coding RNA is filed under the name Carica papaya (papaya). Its description in RNAcentral is "long non-coding RNA (CPAP_LNC013691)". Lineage: Eukaryota; Viridiplantae; Streptophyta; Magnoliopsida; Brassicales; Caricaceae. The record is from RNAcentral.